CUUCCAAGCAGAGGGAGAAAGAGGUCUCUGAAACAAGAAGAGGAAAGAUUCCUCCUCAUCCAAAAUCCAGAUAACACAGAAGCAAACUAAAAUUUGGAGUUCAGUCCAAGAGAUUCACCAGGGAGAAAUGAGGCAACCUGCAGAAAAAGUGACCCCACUGUGUGAGUCAGUGAGCCCCAGUGUGAGUACAUCAUGCCCUAGCUCUGUGGGCCAGUGAUUCUCCCCAAGCUGAGUCAGCUUUGGAACCCAGCUUGACACCAAGUAGGUCAAAAUCAAAAUAAAAUAUUGGGACAGAUCUCUACACUUAAAAUAUUUUAUUAGAGAGGUGAGAAUUGUAAUUUGGCAUAAAUGCGAGGACCAGGGGGUCUUUGGUUUGUCUAAAGCACAAAACGAAGGUUGGAGAUGUUAUUAAAAAAAAACAACAACAAAGUUACGUAUUGUUUUGAAAGAAAGUUUAUUGGCCCUAGUAAAGUUUUGAGGAGCUGGCAAGUUCUGAUUGGUGUGUGACAGUGGUGGGUAAAACCAGUUUUGCAGUCACAGUAGGUUGUUUUAAUAGCUGUUAGAUAAAACUGGUUUUAGGUUACAACAGGUAGUUUUAGCAACUAGGUUUGUAGAGAAUUAUAUUUUGAAGCAAUGCUGUGUGCCCUGAGUGCCUUUUUCCCCUGGCCUGUCUACCCUGUUUUAGUUGCAUAUGACAAGAAUGACCCCAUUUGUUUGAUCAACUUGUACAGAUCAAAGAAAGUUUAAUUUUCUUUUGGGUAAAGCCAGUUAGCAAACACAUACGGUGUGUGAUCUCCUCCUCACCUUCACUCUUAAAGCCCCACCCCCCUUUGUUUUGACAGAUUUCAGUUCAGACUGAGUCCUAGUCUCUUUUCCCUAUUGUAAUAGUCUUGAAUAAAAUAGCCAUUGUCCAUAUAACAUUGUUCAGUGCCAUUCUUGCUCUGUCAGGAGGUACUUCAUCUUUCCAUUUAUGUCUUUGUGGACUCCCAGUUUCACAUUUUGUUCAAUAGGCCAUAAUCUCCUAUUCUGGUACUCAAAUUGUUCCAUAUUGGGUCAUGAAAGUCCUGUCUAAGUGCUAUGUCUGUCCUUGAUCCCCACAAUUGUUUUCUGGUUUACAGUUAAAAAAAGAAAGAAAGAAAGAAAGAAAGAAAG
This 1152-nucleotide long non-coding RNA is filed under the name Homo sapiens (human). Its description in RNAcentral is "HSALNT0185467". The record is from RNAcentral. Lineage: Eukaryota; Metazoa; Chordata; Mammalia; Primates; Hominidae.